Danio rerio (zebrafish) is the source of this 114-nucleotide non-coding RNA. NCBI's taxonomy places the organism in Eukaryota, Metazoa, Chordata, Actinopteri, Cypriniformes, Danionidae. The record is from Rfam.
UUGGGUUAUGGUGAUAUGUACCCUCAAACGUGGUCUGGGAUGGUUGUGGGAGCGUUGUGUGCCCUCGCUGGCGUGCUCACGAUAGCGAUGCCGGUGCCGGUUAUCGUUAAUAAC